UCACAGUGCGCCUACAGGCUGUCCCUAAUUUUCCCUGAAUUUUUCCCAGGAAACUGAAACGCACUACUGGUACCGGCGGCGGUGCUCUCGGGUGCGGCGGCUCUCCGGUGAGGUUCGUGUUUUGGUGAUUUGGCUCCGAUCAACCUCGAUCGGCAGUCGGAAAUCUCCCCGGUGCGGCGGCGGGUGGCGGCGGCCGGCUUCUCCAGCGUCUGGUUCGUC
Molecule: long non-coding RNA, 219 nt
Filed under: Carica papaya (papaya)
Lineage: Eukaryota; Viridiplantae; Streptophyta; Magnoliopsida; Brassicales; Caricaceae
Description: long non-coding RNA (CPAP_LNC011109)
Source: RNAcentral